AUGGUGGUGCCACCGGCCAGCUCAGAAGCCCAGAUGGUGCAGUCACUGGGCUUCGCCAUCUACCGCGCACUGGACUGGGGGCUGGACGAGAGUGAGGAACGUGAGCUCAGCCCACAGUUGGAGCGGCUCAUCGACCUCAUGGCCAACAGCGACUGUGAUGAUGGUGGCUGCGGGACAGCUGAUGAGGGUUACGGGGGCCCUGAGGAGGAAGAGGAGGCCGAGGGUGGCCCCCGCACGGUGCGCACCUUUGCCCGGGCCAUGCAGCUAUGUGCCGCACGCCUCACCGAGCCCCAGGGUGCUCAGGCACACUACCAGGCCGUGUGCCGCGCCCUCUUUGUGGAGACGCUGGAGCUGCGCGCCUUCCUGGCCCGUGUCCGUGAGGCCAAGGAGAUGCUGCAGAGGCUGGGAGAGGAUGAGCCACAGAUGCAGAAGCCACUGGCUGAGCUCGACAACCUCGGACAUACAGACUGGGCCCGGUUGUGGGUGCAGCUCAUGAGGGAGCUGCGCCAUGGGGUGAAGCUCAAGAAGGUGCAGGAGCAAGAGUUCAACCCCCUGCCUACUGAGUUCCAGCUCACACCCUUCGAGAUGCUGAUGCAGGACAUCCGCGCCAGGAACUACAAGCUGCGCAAAGUCAUGGUGGGUGGGGACAUCGCGCCCAGGGUGAAGAAGGAUGCACAUGAGCUCAUCCUGGACUUCAUCCGCUCCCGGCCUCCCCUGAAACAGGUCUCUGAGCGCCGGCUUCGACCGCUGCCACAGAAGCAAAGGACCCUGCAUGAGAGGAUUCUGGAGGAGAUCAAGCAAGAGCGCAAGCUGCGCCCCGUGGGGACCCAGCGCUCAGGCACUCAGGGCUUUGGCUCUCUGCCUUGCAUCCUCAAUGCCUGCUCUGGGGACAUCAAGUCCACUUCCUGUAUCAAUCUGUCUGUCACGGACGUCGGGAGUAGCACUCAGCGCUCACGGCCCCGGGUCCUGCUGAAGGCACCCACGCUGGCUGAGAUGGAGGAGAUGAACACCUCUGAGGUCAGAGCCACACAGACCCUGGCAAAGCCAGGGGCUGAGCCAGCUGGGAGGGGGCAGGUGGGACGGGUGCUUACCGUCUCGGCAGUCAGAAGCGGCCAUGGGAUACUCAGACAGUGCCCUGGGGCCAGCUUCUCUCUUCCUGAGGAGUGCUCGGGAGGGCUGCACAUGGACAUGUCAGUCAUCCCGCGGCCAGACAGCUGAGCAGCCCUCGGCUGGAGGGCAGGGUGCUCACAGCGAGGUCCCUUGGCCACCACGGCUGCUGAGUGCCACCUCCCCUUCUCUGGGUGGCAGCUGUCUCUCAGCCUCCUCCUGUACAAGGUCUGUCCUCCCCUGGUACUUCCGGAAGGCCUCAGGGGCAGUUUGGGUAUUGAGGCACUUGCCAGAGUAUUCAGGCACGGGAGGGCAGAGCCAGAUGUGGUGCAACACACCAUAAUCCAAGCACUUUGGAAGGCUGAGGCAGGAGAAUUAUAAAUUCAAGCUUAGCUUGGAGAAUUUAGUAACUUAGCAAGACCUUGUUGCAAAAUUUAUAAAUAAGAGAAUGACUGGGGACGUAGCUCAGUGGGAAGGCCCCGGGUUCAAUCUCCAGUACCACCAAAGAAAGAAAGAAAGCCAAAAAAAAAAAAAAAAAAAAAAAAAAAUAGGAAGGAAAACAUACAAAAGUUUGAAAGACAUGUGGCCUCUCUUUUUCACUG
RNAcentral lists this long non-coding RNA (1709 nucleotides) under Fukomys damarensis (Damara mole-rat). Its description in RNAcentral is "lncRNA (ENSFDAG00000026669.1)". Lineage: Eukaryota; Metazoa; Chordata; Mammalia; Rodentia; Bathyergidae. The record is from RNAcentral.